AUUAAAAAUUUUCAAUACGUACUAAAUAAAAAGAAAAUAUGAAUUAAUGUUGUCGCUACAUGACUUUAAUAAACUACAAAAAUAUUAUGUUAUACAUUAUUUAUAAAAAAACAGAUAAUCAACAAAGAAAUAUUGGCCACGUGGAAACACUUCGGCUUUUCACUGUGGACUGGGAUUCGAUUUCGGGUGUCACCCUUGGAAAUAUUUUUCAUAGAAUCCAGGCCCCUAUCUUCACAAUCUGGCUAACCCCUCCGCAGGGAUGGGAAGCCUGUGGAAGUGCUUAUUUCACUCUUGCCACUUAGUAUU
RNAcentral lists this long non-coding RNA (306 nucleotides) under Androctonus crassicauda. The record is from RNAcentral. Lineage: Eukaryota; Metazoa; Arthropoda; Arachnida; Scorpiones; Buthidae.